AAGCCAGGUAAACGGUUCGCUGCUGCAGGUAGUAGGCCCGUGGUUCCCUCGGCUAUCCUCCAACGUCAGCGCCAAACUACACACACCUCCUCAUCCCUUCUCGAACCCUAGGGCAAACCCGGCGCCUGGCGGCUCCUCCCAAAGCUCCAGUCUCCGGUCUCUUGCGGGAGUUUCUUUCUCGUUGUCUAGCAAGCAUCUCCCUCUGGUGGAUUCCCUGACGUUUCAACUAGGCUUUUGCAUGCUUUUCGUUCUGAAACGGCCCCAGAAGUCGAAUAGAGGGACCCUUCCUACCUUUUCUCGAGGAACACGAUGAAGAAUUUGUGACAAAGGUGGAAGAGCCGAGCGUCUUCCUGGGGGCUCGAGAAGCAACCACUGCAAAGAGAGGCUCCCGGGACGUAGUCUGCUUUGGUCCGCACCAUGUUCACACAGGAAGAGACAACUCGCACCGACUCCCCAGCUGCAGAUGUCUUAACUGGACAAAAACCCGAAAAUGACGUUCCCGCCACAGUUUAAAUGGGUUUCUUUCCCGCGCGCUCCAAGCUCUUGAGAAUCGUGGCUCUUAUUGGUUCCGCGCCUUCACCCCGAACCAAUUGGCAGCGUCCAGCGGAUGACAGCCUUGAGACCAGGCUUUGCUGGCCAGUCCAUCAGCACCAGUGGUCGUGAUUCGUACCCACUCCUGGUGGGUGGUGCCAGGAUGUUCCAGGGGUGUGCCAAGUGUGGGCACUGAGCUCUUCUGUAGAUGCACAUAUUGUCUUUGCACAAUUGCCAAAGUCCUUUCUGGAGUUCGACCUCUAUGUUGAAGAUUUACUCAAACACGGAGCCCCCACACACGUGUAUAU
This is a long non-coding RNA of Phodopus roborovskii (desert hamster), 839 nucleotides long. RefSeq lists it as uncharacterized. The transcript has 4 exons. The record is from RefSeq and is a predicted model, not a curated record. NCBI's taxonomy places the organism in Eukaryota, Metazoa, Chordata, Mammalia, Rodentia, Cricetidae.